GACGGGGGAUGCAAGUGUUAUCCGGAAUUACUGGGCGUAAAGGGUGUGCAGGCGGGGUUGCAAGUGGGGUAUGAAAUAUCCCAGCUUAACUGGGAGGGGUUAUGCCAGACUGCAACUCUAGAGGAUGAGAGAGGGGGGUGGAAUUCCGGGUGUAGUGGUGAAAUGCGUAGAGAUCCGGAGGAACCCCAGAGGCGAAGGCGGCCCCCUGGCUCGUACCUGACGCUCAGCCACGAAAGCAUGGGGAGCGAACGGG
This 253-nucleotide ribosomal RNA is filed under the name uncultured bacterium. RNAcentral's name for it is "partial 16S ribosomal RNA". It matches the Rfam family "Bacterial small subunit ribosomal RNA", at positions 524 to 776 of the family's 1533-position model. The record is from RNAcentral.